RNAcentral lists this ribosomal RNA (442 nucleotides) under uncultured bacterium. RNAcentral describes it as "partial 16S ribosomal RNA". It matches the Rfam family "Bacterial small subunit ribosomal RNA", at positions 338 to 795 of the family's 1533-position model. The record is from RNAcentral.
CCUACGGGGUGCAGCAGUAGGGAAUCUUUCACAAUGGGCGAAAGCCUGAUGGAGCAACGCCGCGUGCAGGAUGAAGGCGUUCGGGUUGUAAACUGCUUUUAUAAGCGAGAAAUAUGAUGGUAACUUAUGAAUAAGGAUCGGCUAAAUACGUGCCAGCAGCCGCGGUCAUACGUAGGAUCCGAGCAUUAUCCGGAGUGACUGGGUGUAAAGAGUUGCGUAGGUGGCAUAAUAAGUAGCUAGUGAAAUCUGGUGGCUCAACCAUUCAGACUAUUAGCUAAACUGUUAAGCUCGAGACCGUUAGGGGUAACUGGAAUGUCGAGUGUAGGAGUGAAAUCCGUAGAUAUUAGAAGGAACACCAAUAGCGUAGGCAGGUUGCUGGGACGGUUCUGACACUAAGGCACGAAAGCGUAGGGAGCAAACGGGAUUAGAUACCCUUGUAGUC